Molecule: long non-coding RNA, 396 nt
Filed under: Nicotiana benthamiana
Lineage: Eukaryota; Viridiplantae; Streptophyta; Magnoliopsida; Solanales; Solanaceae
Description: long non-coding RNA (NBEN_LNC009888)
Source: RNAcentral
ACAUCUGCAGCGACCCAAUCUUAAGACGCUUGGAUGAAUAUUCACAGCCUUCUACAUAAUUGAAACCGGUAUGGAGACACUUGACCAUAAUUGUGGGAGGAACUCCAGCAAAACCCUUCUCAUCGCUACAAGUUGAGCGAGGUCCCGACUUGGGAUGCCUUCUACAUAAUUGAAACUGGUAUGGAGACACUUAACCAUAAUUGUGGGAGGAACUCCAGCAAAACCCUUCUCAUCGCUACAAGUUGAGCGAGGUCCCGACUUGGGAUGAUCCAAAAUGUAUGCUGCAACCUCCCUUAAUGCCCCUUCUCCUACUCGAGUGCCCUUCUUCAAUCCCUCACCAUCUACGGACAAUGGCAGCCCCCGGGGAUUAUUCACAGCCAUAGGCUCCUCAUCUAU